UUCCGGUUGAUCCUGCCGGAGGCGACCGCUUUGGGAGUUCGAUUAAGCCAUGCGAGUCGUGAGUCUUAGGGACUCGGCAUACUGCUCAGUAACACGUGGAUAACCUGCCCUAUCGUCUGGAAUAACCUCGGGAAACUGAGAAUAAGGCCGGAUAGUUCACAAUGCCUGGAACGGUUUGUGAAUCAAGGUAGGAUGGGUCUGCGGCGUAUCAGGUUGUAGGGGGUGUAAAGGACCCCCUAGCCUUCGACGCGUACGGGUGUUGGGAGACAUAGCCCGGAGAUGGAUUCUGAGACACGAAUCCAGACCCUACGGGGUGCAGCAGGCGCGAAAACUUCACACUGCAGGAAACUGUGAUGAGGGAACUCCUAGUGCAUGCACUAUGUGUAUGUAGAUCCUACUCUUAACAAGUAGAGGGAAAGGGCUGGGAAAGACCGGUGCCAGCCGCCGCGGUAAUACCGGCAGCUCAAGUGGUCGUCGCUUUUAUUGGACCUAAAACGUCCGUAGCCUGUUUGGUAAAUCUGUGGGUAAAUCAAUCCGCUCAACGGAUUGAAUUCUGCAGAGACUGCCAGACUAGGGACCGGGAGAGGUGUGGGGUACUCGAGGGGUAGGGGUAAAAUCCUGUCAUCCUUCGAGGACCACCAGCUGCGAAGGCGCCACACUGGAACGGAUCCGACGGUCAGGGACGAAGCCUAGGGGCACGAACCGGAUUAGAUACCCGGGUAGUCCUAGGUGUAAACGCUGUGAACUUGGUGUCGGGGGUCCGCAAGGGGUCCCGGCGCCGGAGUGAAGAUGUUAAGUUCACUGCCUGGGGAGUACGGUCGCAAGGCUGAAACUUAAAGGAAUUGGCGGGGCAGCAC
RNAcentral lists this ribosomal RNA (857 nucleotides) under uncultured euryarchaeote. RNAcentral's name for it is "bacterial SSU rRNA". It matches the Rfam family "Archaeal small subunit ribosomal RNA", at positions 1 to 879 of the family's 1478-position model. The record is from RNAcentral. Lineage: Archaea; Methanobacteriati; Methanobacteriota.